Molecule: non-coding RNA, 21 nt
Filed under: Arabidopsis thaliana (thale cress)
Lineage: Eukaryota; Viridiplantae; Streptophyta; Magnoliopsida; Brassicales; Brassicaceae
Source: RNAcentral
AUACUUGAGGAGGUUACAUGU